GGGAGCUUCAAGUCAAGUCACCGCUGCGUCCCGGCCUCGAGUUCGCGGGCGAGGCUGGGUCCCAAGCCCGGGCCUGGGGAAAGGGGCGCACGGCUGCGAGCCGGUCUCAAACAGCACGGGGGGUCAGGGGGAGGAAUUGCCGCUCCAGGAGCGACUGACUCUCCCUCUCCCGCUUUCAGCCUCUCCGCCUCUCAUUUCCUGUUUCCGUUGCCCUUCGCGCCCCCACCCUGACCCGCCCCAAAUUCCUGCGGCUCGCUUGGUUCUCUGCCCUGUUGACAGAGGAGGCAGACUCUGGAUCUGACCGGCCGACCCGAGGGCACCCCACUCCACGUCUCAGAUUUCCCGUUCGUUCCCCUAGUCCCUAGUACCCUUAAUACCGCGGACGCAUGGGGCAUCCUCCAGCCUCGGCAAGUACCGCAGCCCUGGGGACCUGGCGCUCCCCGCACCCGGAGACCUCUUGCCCUGCAGAAAAGGACGACACCCACCUCACCCUCGCAGCAACCCCCUUCUACACCCGCCUCCACGGAACCCUGAUCCUGGCUCCCCUUCUCUCCGACCCCAGGGGCUCCUGGGAUCGCGCUCCUCCUUCUCCCCAGCCCUCACCAUCCGGCAGCCUCUUCUGCCUCUGUUCCGCCGCCCUCUGGCUUCACUAUGGAACCCCCUGCUGCCCCUGGCCCCCUGUCUCUCCCCUCUGGGGCCCCUCUAUCCCUCCUCGGCUCCCCAGUCGACACCUUCGCCCCGCCCUGCACUUCUCUCCACUUCUCACAUUUCUCCUCCUGCCCCCUCUCUCUACCCUCCUCUGUCCCAUGACUAUGAAUUUCACAGAGAAGCCUGUUUAUUUAGGUGACACCAAGUGGGAGACACACGAAACCGUUCCCCUAGGCGUCUGAGACCCCAAACCGGAGCAGACCAUGUGUCUGAAUGCAGAAGCUGAGCCCCAGAGCCCAGGGCCCCAGCAGCCUGAGAGAAAGUGCCCUAAGGAGACCCCUGCCAGGUAAGGCCUAUCUCUGAGGGCUCUGUCCUUGCCUGGCGGCCCUCAAAACCUGGCUAACUGCUCACAGGCAAGUUGUGCCCUGGGUUUCCCCCACCAACUCCACACUUCACCCUGGGGGGAAGGGAAGGGUCACCAAAGUCCCUAACCCCUCCUUCAGGUGGGGGGCCUGUGCUCUCCCACCUCUGUCUCUUCAGCCUCCCCCUUCUCCUUGCUGAUCUCACCUGAGUCUCCCCUCCCCCGACAGGCAGGCGGGAGCAAAGGAAGAGAAGGCAGGACAGAUCUCCAGCUCCCUAUCUCCUGUGGGACCCUUUGACCCCUCAGCUGUCACAACUGACCUUUUCCAACUUCUCCUACCAGAGGCCCCACCCCCCACCAUGAAGCCCCUUUCCAGCCUGGAAUGUGAACUCCCCUUUCCGUGCCCCAAAUGUGGGAAGCGCUUCAGCCAGGGGGCCCGGCCUGACCCUGUACCUACACUCCCACACGGGUGACAGGCCCUGCUCCUGCAGCCAGUGUGGCCACAGCUCCUACCUGCCCCAGCCCCUGACACACAUGCCCACCAGUGUAGCAAGGGCUUCUCCCAAGAGCUCUGGCCAGCUGCAGCACACCACUGUUCACACAGGCACAUGGCCCUACGUCUGUGUCACCUGUGGAUGGGGUUCAGGAGCCACCCAGCCUCGUCUAUCGUGAGAAGACUCACUUAGUGAGCACGGCUUCCCCUGCCCCGAGUGUGGCAAGCACUUCACCCAGAGUGUCCGCUGAGCCCAGCACCUACGGACGCUCACAGGGGAGAAGCCCUACCUGUGCGGCUAGUGUGGCCAUGGCUUCAGCCAGCACCCCUGGCUCGUGGUCCACCAGUGGGUCCACCACUUGGUUCCUCUGCUAUCCCUGCCGGUCCACACCUGCUAGGUGUGCUCUUCCCUCCGGUGCGGGCAGUAGCCUGCUGCCACACAGUGCAGCACAUGAGAAGCCCUUCUUCUGCCCCCAGUAUCCCGAGGGCUCUGGCUACUCCAACCUGCAACACCACCAGCAGGACCACGGGGGGAGCGGCCCCACCACUGUGACCAGUGCAGCAAGGGCUUCAGACAGAGCUCAGGGCUGUGUGGCACCAGGGAGUCCACAGGGGCAAGACUGCGAGUGCAGCUUCCGGUCCAGCUCCGGCCUGGCCCAGCACCUGCAGGGCCGCUCUGGGGAAAGGCCCUUCUGCUCUGGCGGCUGUGGCUUCACUCAGAGUCCCCAUCGACCUUGACAACAGGCCAGGGCUGGUGAGGAGCACAGGGAUGAACAUGGAGGGGGGGACAUCUGGAGGCCAAGUCAAGGCCCCUGUGGGGAGCCAGCCCCCCAACUCCACAGCACUCUAGGAGGGCAGAGGGGCAGUUGGAAUGACUGCCUCUUUUGUGGGAGGCAUAAUGGAGCACAGCUCCCACCACACCCCAGCCAGAGCAACUUUCAGAGCAACCACAUUGGGUGGCCAGAGUGUCUCUGCUGGACCUACUCAAAGCUGGAAUGGCCAGGUCCACCUCACUUCUAGUCCAACGUGCCAGUUCCCCAGAGAGCUCCCGGCCUGGGAAAGAGCUCUCCCUGUUUCUUAGAAAGGACUCUGUACUUCUGAUCUUCUGUCCUCCGUCUGAGAAAUUUAACCAGGAUGUCUGGGUCCUACUGCCUCAUGGAUGGAUCCGAUUCCCUGGGAUUUUUUUGAAGGGAUCAUUUCAAAGAGAUAACUGAAUCCCCAUAGAGCUCCAUGACAACGCCCACCAUCAAAUCCUAGUCCCCCACUAACCCCUCCAACCCUCUCAUUUCCCCCGAGGCUUCUGGGUGCUUCUUGCCUCUGGUGCUAAAGCUACACCCAGCACACCUGUCUGAUGCUGCCAUCUCCCUAUGCCUACUCCUGGCCUCGCUAGGCCCUGUUUCAGGACCUCAGGGCUUCCUAAAACCUUCAUUGCACUUCAGUCUAGGAAUAAAGCCCAGAUGGAGGCUGCUCUUUCCAGCUGUACAGAGGCCUCCUAUUGAAAGGUGCAAAAGGGCAGAGGCAGGUGUCCAAGGAGAGGGCAGGGAUGUGGAGGAGAUGGAGACCGGAGGAAAAGCCAAGGGAGAUUGGAGGAGAAAGUGGGAGGUUCUGGAAUGUGGAGAAAAGACAGCAGGGCUGUGUGAGACAAGACACACAAGAAACAUCUCAGAAAAACUUAGAAACAAAUGUCUUCAGGUACGAACAUCCCCGGGGAACCACUCAUUUCUUCUUCAGUUGACAAGUUUCCCCCAGUGUUGUGAAGGCACUGAGUUGCCAACACAAUCACUUCAUGUCCUGCCAUUUGCACUUUUUCCACAAAAUUGCUUGCUAACUGUCUUCUUCGUGUGUUGGCAAACUGAUUUUGAACAAAGAGUCAGGAGGGAGUCCCACAGCAGAGUCCCUUCCAGACUGGUGCCCCGGCCCAGCCUGGCACUGAGGAGAGCACUGUCAUCAUUCACCCUUUUAGAAGGUUCUGCUGGGGGAGUCACUCCCUGGCAACACUCACAGCAAGUUUAUGGUUACUGUUCAUGUUAAAGGAUAAGGUAGACCUCAGCUCUUGUAUUAACUUCCCCCAAAGUAUACUCUUUAGAACUGGGCAGAGUCCUCCCUAGGAGGUAUCAGAGGCUGAUUACUGACACACACACGAAGGAAUUAAAGAACUGGAGGGAUAAAAGGGUCACUGAGAGACUGCUAAUCAGUUUCACCCUUUCAGGAAAUAUGUAUUGAGUCCACCACGUGUCAGGGACUGUUCUGGGACCUGGGUAUUACAAACAGGCAUAUGAUGCAGCCCCCGCCUUCCACCGAUUUGAUCUAGGCGUGUUCAGCAUCUCAAUAUUGAACCCAGCAUCUAGUCCUAUCAAUUGUAUCCACUAUAAUCUCUCUCAAGUAUGUCGUCUCUUUCCCACCCCUCCACCUCCCUUGUCCAGCUACCACCUGGACCAUCUGGUUCUCCUCUGAAUCAUCGUGAUGGCUGGAGAGGCUGGGAAUGGCGUUCUCUGUGAGCAGCACACCUGAGUAACAGAGGCCUCUUUGAAAUGUAAAUCUGAUUGUUUCAGGCACCCUGCUUAAGCCCAUUCAAUGGUUUCCCAUUGAUCUCAGGUUAAAGACCCCAGUCCUUAACCUGGCCUUUAAAGCUCUGCGAGGUGUGGCCGUGCCGGCCUCUCCAGCCUCAUCUCCCACCACUCACUCCUCUCUCCCUCUCGCAGAGCGCUCCACUUCCUGUCGGUGUCCCGCUUCCUCCCGCAGAGAGCGGCGGCCAGGCUGGGCCCUCCUCCUGAGAGGCGCUUUCUUCCAUUUCUCUCUUAGCUCCUCAUUCUUCGGAUCUCAGCUCCUUUACCACAUCCUUAGGGAAGGUACCCUAUCCUUUCCUUCAGGGUCCAAUUCCCUCCUCUGGGCUCCCACACCAGGUGCACCUUUCUCGCAGGCACUUGGCACCGUUCAGUUCCAUAUUUGUUGGUGAUUAUUUGAUUGAUAUCUGUCUCCCCACCGACUGUAAGCUCCCUGAGGGUGGGCACCACAACUGCAGAGGCUCACUCUUGCUAUUCCCUGGACACUCCAUAAAUAUUGAAAUAUUGGUUGAAUGGGUGCACAUGUGCCAGGAUCUGCAGCAGGUGCUAGAUAUUUCAGGAUUUCAGAGAGGGUGGAUUGAGGCCAUAAUUUCCCUCCAGCGGCUGCCGCCCAAGAGUCCCAUAUGCCGUUUCCUUAGCACCAUUCCUUUCUCCAUGUUUCCUGGUGUCAUCCAUCUUCCCAGCUCCGCCUCUCCGGUACCCUCCCCACCUCCACCUUGCCUAGGAGAACCUUUCUCCCUUUAGUUUUUUAGUGCCCCUUCCUGGUUUUGGCUCCUUGGCUUCAGAAGCCAGCAUGGAAUAAUGAGGCAAUAGCACAGGAUUCAGAAACAAAAUAUCUGGAUUCAAUAACAAGGUUAAAAGUAUUAGCGGUGUGACCUUCAGCAGGCUAAUAAACCACUCGGAACCCUAGCUUACAUAAAAUGGGAACAACUUCGAAAUCAAGCAAGUUGGAGGAAUUAGAAAACCUAAAAGCACCGUCAUCUAGAAAUACUGGAUAAAAUAUGAAAAAAAUUAAACAUAUGACUGAAUUCUCAAAAGGAAAGUAAAAUUCCAGGUGCCAGAAACAAAGAGGAAACUGAAAGCUGGAGGCUGAGCUGACUGUGGCCACGGUGACCAGAAGGCGGCUGGAGGGAAUGGGUUCUGUUAACUCAGGGCUUGAGUGCUUCCAGCCACCCGGGGACAGGAGACGAGGUCUUGGUCCUGAAGAGGUGGGGAAAUUAGAUGAAAGGAGCCAAAGCUGACUCAAGAAGAAAUAAAAAACCUGAACAGAUCUAUAAAUUCUAAUAAAUUAAAUGAGAAGCUAAAAAUGUACACGCACACAGCACCUAGAUGGUUUCUAGGUAUAUUAUUCUGCCAACUCUUAAAGGAACUAUUUAUUUAUUUAUUUAAACUACACCAGAUAACGGUACAAGAGGAAAAUCUCACUUAUAAGACUAAAAGUCCUAAAUAAAAUAGUAGCAAACUGAAUCCAGUAAAGUUUGUGCAAGUGUGUGUAUAUGUGUAGGUAAGUGUGUGUGUGUGUGUGUGGGUGUGACCAAGCAGGGUUAUUCCAGGAAUGUACGGAUGAUCUACUUAAAAAAUCUGCAAAUGAUAUUUACAACACUGACAUAUUAAAGGGAAAAAAACCACGAUUGUCCCAAUAGGUACAGAGAACACAUCGGAUAAAGUUUAACCCUAAUUCAUCAUUUUAAAAAAAUCUAGCUAACUAGGAAUUGAAAAUAACAUCCAAUAUCAAGAUAAGAAUAUUAGUUUUUACUGUUUCUAUUCAACUCGUGUUAGGGGGUCUGAACUGGUACAAUAAGAAAGAGAAGAAAUAAAGCCAUCACUAUACAUAAAUGAUUGAUUGAUUAUUGACAAAGACAAUUUAUGAGAACCCACAAACAGAACCAGUACAGCCCUUUCUGGGGACAAGAUGAAUAUGCAAACACCAAUUUGCCUGUAUCAUAGCAACAAACAAAUGGAAGAUUUUGUUUUAAGAAAGUACCAUUUGUAAUAGCAACAAAAGCUGUAUGAUACUUAGGAAUAAGUAUAACAUAACAAAAUAUGUGCAUAUUUAUGGAGAAAAUUAUAAAAAUUUAUUGGAGAAUGUUUUGAAAAGACACAAAAGAAUGCUCAUGAAGAGGAAAGCUCAAUAUGAAGAUGGUAAUUUUUCUCAAAUCUAUAAAUUCAGUACAAUUCUAAUCAAAACCCCAGCCAGAUGUUUUAUGGAACUUGAUAAGCUGUUCUUAAAAUUCUUAUGGAAGAGUAAAUGCCCAAGAAAAGCCGAAACAAAUUUGAAGUGGAGGAAUACCAGAGUACUUGCCUUACCACAUAUCACAGCUUCCCUCUAAAGCUCAAGUGGUAAAGGCAGUGUGGUCCUCCAAUAGUGUAGACCACUGGUACAGGAAAGAACUUGUUGGAAUCAGACCCGCAAAGAUAUGAGAACUUGGCAUAUGACAAAAGUGUCAUAGGUCAGUGGAAAAGGAUGAACUAUUUGUUAACGUGUCAGGUUAACCAGCUAUCCAAAUGGGGAAAAAAAUAGAUCCCUGCAUUACAACAUACCCCCAAAUAAAUUUCAGAUAGCUUAAAUACGUGAAA
Molecule: long non-coding RNA, 6643 nt
Filed under: Equus asinus (donkey)
Lineage: Eukaryota; Metazoa; Chordata; Mammalia; Perissodactyla; Equidae
Description: lncRNA (ENSEASG00005030645.1)
Source: RNAcentral